GAACGAGUGGCGGACGGGUGAGUAACACGUGGGUAACCUGCCCUUAAGUGGGGGAUAACAUUUGGAAACAGAUGCUAAUACCGCAUAAAUCCAAGAACCGCAUGGUUCUUGGCUGAAAGAUGGCGUAAGCUAUCGCUUUUGGAUGGACCCGCGGCGUAUUAGCUAGUUGGUGAGGUAACGGCUCACCAAGGCAAUGAUACGUAGCCGAACUGAGAGGUUGAUCGGCCACAUUGGGACUGAGACACGGCCCAAACUCCUACGGGAGGCAGCAGUAGGGAAUCUUCCACAAUGGACGCAAGUCUGAUGGAGCAACGCCGCGUGAGUGAAGAAGGCUUUCGGGUCGUAAAACUCUGUUGUUGGAGAAGAAUGGUCGGCAGAGUAACUGUUGUCGGCGUGACGGUAUCCAACCAGAAAGCCACGGCUAACUACGUGCCAGCAGCCGCGGUAAUACGUAGGUGGCAAGCGUUAUCCGGAUUUAUUGGGCGUAAAGCGAGCGCAGGCGGUUUUUUAAGUCUGAUGUGAAAGCCCUCGGCUUAACCGAGGAAGUGCAUCGGAAACUGGGAAACUUGAGUGCAGAAGAGGACAGUGGAACUCCAUGUGUAGCGGUGAAAUGCGUAGAUAUAUGGAAGAACACCAGUGGCGAAGGCGGCUGUCUGGUCUGUAACUGACGCUGAGGCUCGAAAGCAUGGGUAGCGAACAGGAUUAGAUACCCUGGUAGUCCAUGCCGUAAACGAUGAAUGCUAGGUGUUGGAGGGUUUCCGCCCUUCAGUGCCGCAGCUAACGCAUUAAGCAUUCCGCCUGGGGAGUACGACCGCAAGGUUGAAACUCAAAGGAAUUGACGGGGGCCCGCACAAGCGGUGGAGCAUGUGGUUUAAUUCGAAGCAACGCGAAGAACCUUACCAGGUCUUGACAUCUUUUGAUCACCUGAGAGAUCAGGUUUCCCCUUCGGGGGCAAAAUGACAGGUGGUGCAUGGUUGUCGUCAGCUCGUGUCGUGAGAUGUUGGGUUAAGUCCCGCAACGAGCGCAACCCUUAUGACUAGUUGCCAGCAUUUAGUUGGGCACUCUAGUAAGACUGCCGGUGACAAACCGGAGGAAGGUGGGGAUGACGUCAAAUCAUCAUGCCCCUUAUGACCUGGGCUACACACGUGCUACAAUGGAUGGUACAACGAGUUGCGAGACCGCGAGGUCAAGCUAAUCUCUUAAAGCCAUUCUCAGUUCGGACUGUAGGCUGCAACUCGCCUACACGAAGUCGGAAUCGCUAGUAAUCGCGGAUCAGCACGCCGCGGUGAAUACGUUGCCG
Molecule: ribosomal RNA, 1300 nt
Filed under: Lacticaseibacillus rhamnosus
Lineage: Bacteria; Bacillati; Bacillota; Bacilli; Lactobacillales; Lactobacillaceae
Description: bacterial SSU rRNA
Rfam family: Bacterial small subunit ribosomal RNA
Source: RNAcentral